RNAcentral lists this ribosomal RNA (498 nucleotides) under uncultured bacterium. RNAcentral's name for it is "partial 16S ribosomal RNA". It matches the Rfam family "Bacterial small subunit ribosomal RNA", at positions 29 to 523 of the family's 1533-position model. The record is from RNAcentral.
AUUGAACGCUGGCGGCAUGCCUUACACAUGCAAGUCGAACGGUAACGCGGGGCAACCUGGCGACGAGUGGCGAACGGGUGAGUAAAGCAUCGGAACGUGCCCAGUAGUGGGGGAUAGCCCGGCGAAAGCCGGAUUAAUACCGCAUACGACCUACGGGUGAAAGGGGGGGAUCGCAAGACCUCUCGCUAUUGGAGCGGCCGAUGUCAGAUUAGGUAGGUGGUGGGGUAAAGGCCUACCAAGCCUGCGAUCUGUAGCUGGUCUGAGAGGACGAACAGCCACAAUGGGACUGAGACAAGGCCCAGAGUCCUACGGGAGGAAGCAGUGGGGAAUUUUGGACAAUGGGCGCAAGCCUGAUCCAGCCAUGCCGCGUGCGGGAAGAAGGCCUUCGGGUUGUAAACCGCUUUUGUCAGGGAAGAAAAGCCUUGGGUUAAUACCCUGGGGUGAUGACGGUACCUGAAGAAUAAGCACCGGCUAACUACGUGCCAGCCGCCGCAGUAA